CAAAAGCUCAUUGGAAAAUUGAUUUACUUGACGAUUACUAGGCUUGACAUUUGCUUUGCAGUUUAGAUGCUUAGCCAAUUUAGGCAGCAUCCAAAACAAUCACACUGGAUGGCAGCUUUACGAGUUGUAAGAUAUGUGAAAGGUUCACCUGGACUAGGAGCUUUUUUUAAGAGAAGUCCCAUAAAAGAUUUGGUGGUACAUUGUGAUUCUGAUUGGGCAUCAUGCCCCAACACAAGGAGGUCAAUGACUGGAUUCAUCUUGCAGUUAGGAUCUUCAUUGGUUUCUUGGAAAUCUAAGAAACAAAAUACUGUAAGGCACAGUUCAGCAGAGGCAAAGUAUCGCAGCAUGGCAGCUGUAGUUACUACGGUAAUUUGGAUGGUAGGCUUAUUGAAAGAUUUGUCCAUUAUUGUAACUAUGCCUAUUCAGCUCUAUUGUGACGGUAAGGCAGCUAUGCAAAUUGCUGCAAACCCAAACUUUCAUGAAUGCACCAAGCAUAUCAAAAUCGAUUGCCAUUUCAUAAAGGAAAAAACUUAAGGAAGGACUUAUACAUCCAUUACAUGCAUCCACCAAGUUUCAGCUGGCUGAUUUGUUGACCAAAGGACUAGGAACAGCUCAACAUAAUUUUUUGUUAUCCAAGACAUUUUUUCACCCUCCAACUUGAGGAGGAGUAUUGAAAUAUUGAUAAUUAGUUAAGAGAAGUAGUUAGUUAGAUGGUUGUUGAGAAAAACAGUUGUAACAAACAUGAGUUGUCACUAGAACAUGACUUUAUAAUCAGUUAGCACUCAGUUGAAUUGACAGCUGUCCAAGUUGAUCUAGUGCUACAUAUAGUCCAGCUUGAAAAGAACAAUCAGUAAGUUUUUCAUAAUAAAAAAUAUCCUCUUCUCUACUUCUUCUCCUCCUCUGCUAUAUGCAGAUUUCAUAGAGUUUUGACAUGUCUAAUAAUGGUAUUUCUUUACUGGAUUUCAUCUGUGCACUAAUUCCUUCGUAGUGACUGUAGAGAGGAUUUCUCAUUGUCCUUAACUCGAAUAUCUGAGUGGAAGUUGGCGCUUCUUCAAUGAGCUAGUGCAUGAAUCUCCUUUUGGACUUGUCUGUUCAUUUAUGUGAUGAUUGGGCUGCUCUAUUUGGUACAGGGAUCAUGAUAGUGAUACGGGGUCCCCAACCAAACGGCAAAAAUGAGACUUUCCCUUUUGUUGCUCCUGAAAUUCCUUCACUAAAUCUCUCAGGCUUGAAUUGUCUUGCAUCGUCACUCCAUAGUUCGUGAUCAUGAUGUAGCAAGAUUGUGGGCAACAACAAUAACACCCCAGCAGGUAGACUCAUAUCUCCUAAAUUAGUUUCUUUAUAAAUUUUCCGACUAAUUGAAGUUACUGGUGGGUACAACCUAAGAACCUCGUGUAAAAUCAUGUUGACCUAGACAUAAUUGAGUCGAGCACUAAAUGAGUUCUUGGAUAGAAAAACUUAUUGAACGUUGAUUUGAAAAAAUACUUACAAUUUUCAAAUGAUUUAGUCCAUCAAAAUUUGGUUCAUCAUGGCCAAAAGCUUGCAAAACCUCUUCUCUAGCUCGUGCUUGCCAACCUUGAUGUAUGCUUAAUAGAAACAUUGUCCAUACUAUCGUCACAGAAGUAUUCUCCUGCCCAGCAAGAAAAAAUAACUUGCACUCCUCGACUAUGUCGCCGAUGUUCAUUACAGAAUUCUUGUUCCCAGGUUGUCCAUUUUUGAAACUGGACUCUAACAGUGCACCUAAUAAAUCAUUAUUACUAGCAUGCCUUGUUUUCAUUGCCUUCAAUCUAUCGUCGAUAAUACCUCUAAUUGUUGCUUGAAUUUUCUUCUCAAUUUCUUUCAUCCUUCUGUUUCUCUUAGUUGGUAGAAACCUACCGUAAAAAAUACUAGUCAUUGAACGAGAAAAUAGAAAACAUAAGGUACUAAAAUUUGGUAUCUAAUAUUGGGUAAACAAGAAAUACAAAAAUUCAGGUCAAACUCAAUCGCAAGAGUUAGUUCAUGUGGUCCGAGUUGGUUCUAGAAUACAGUUAUGGGUUCAUUAGAUCCUGGUAACUUUUGCCUAAAUCCUGUAGAUGUAAUAGUGCUGGCUAUUUUUCAAUUACAAGGGUUGAAAAGGGGUUAUCUGUGAAAUUUUUUCUCAAACUUGUAUAGGUGAUAAACUAUCCACCAAAUAAGUAUAAAUAAUAGCGUUGAACCAGUAAAUCAAAUGCAUGUGGUAGAAUUUCGAACAGAUAAAGGUCAAAUCCUUUAUUUGCGUACGCAUAAGAUAAAAAUCACCCAUAAAAAUCAUCCAGGACCAUAUAAGGAGCCGACAACUAAUUCCUCGUAUCAAAUAUGGAACAAUUAACAAAUGAAAUGUCAACAUCAACAGACAUUAGCAGAAGAGAUGUUGAUUUAAGAAAAUACUCCUUCUAUCUGAGUCAAACAAUUGAAGUUUGAUUGUGAAUGUAGGCAUGAAAUCUUCAAGUUUUUAACAAUAAAAUUUAUAAAUUUUAAACUACAUGAAGAGUCCUAGAAAUUACAUAUUUGACAAUUAAAAUACUUGAAAGAAACAUGAAAACAUUAAGGUAUAUCUUGAAAUUCGAAAAGUGCCACGUAAGUUGGGAUAGAAGAGCACAAAAAAGUGCAUGGUGAAGUUACCUCCAACCUGGAAUAUGUCCUGAACGUACAAUUUCCAUAAGAUGAUAAGCUUGUUCUUUUUGAAGUUCAAAUAUGUCUCUCCCUUGUUGGUAAGAAACACCAAAUGCGGUACGUGCAAUAAUAUUGGUGCUCAUAUUUUGAAUAGAAGGCCAUAUAUCCAGUUCACAGGUAUCUUUCUGGCAAAAGACUUCAUCCCACUUGUUCACCAACUCAUUGCAGCCCAGGUAAAAUGCUGGCAGCAUAUUCUGUUUCAGAAGUUCAAAAAUAGUCCUUAUUAGUUAUACAAUAACUAUUCACAAAUCUACGAAAUCAGGGAAAUCAUGAAGUCUCAGGUUCAAAUUGUCGAAACACUAACUAAUUUCUUUCCAUUUGCCUAAGCCUACGUGGAUGGAUUUACCCGGUAAUUCAGUAGAAUAUAGCCAAGGUAUGCACAAAUUUACCCGUAUGUCACCAUCAUUUUUUUUAUAACAACGGUGUUCGGGUCAGCUUUCAUUUAUUGCAACUAAAUCCAAGAGAUACCUACCACCUCCCAACAACAAUAGAGAUCAGGUAAUUCUGUCCACCAAAGCUAGUAUAGAUGAGAAAAAAAAUCACCAAGUGUUUUUUUGUCUCGGCGGGAAUUUGAACAUGAGACCUCAGAUUCUCAAUCCACUUCAUUGACCACUAGGCCACACCCUUGGGUGCCACCAUCAUAAAAGGAAUAAAUAAAUAUUUUAACCUAAACUUUGUUGUCUUAGAGUUGUUUUAUCAAACUAACACCUUCAACUUAUCUGGAUGGAAAGCAGGAUUCAUAAUCCUUCUGUUUUUGGCCCAAUGAACCCCCUCUGCACCGACAAGUCCUUGUGCCAACAAUUUCGCUACAGGAUUAUGAGGCUUUUGAAAAUCAUAGAUCUUGGAAAAGAUCUCCUUUAUAAGAAGAGGAUCCAUAAUGUAAAUCUCUGGAGUUGUCCCAUGCCAAAAUAUGGCAUUUUUACCUGCAAUUUCAACUUCAUUUAUCAGACUCGUAUGAGGAGGUAACUCUCAACUCUUUAAUUUUUAGUUGUUACAUUUGAAUAGACACUCAAACUUACCUUCAGUUGUCAAGUACGCAUUUUAACUUUUGAGUAUACACCUUAGUUUGUUUUCACUAUAUCAAUUGAACACUUCAACUAACAAAAUGAUCAUCUAGACACCUCCAAAAUUUAUGUGUCACGUCAGUGUUGAGUGCCCACGGGACACAAUUGGUACGAGUUGAAGUAUUUACAAGACAAAAUGAGAUGUUCAGAUGUGCACUCUCAAAGUUGGAGUGCUUCCUUGCUAGCUGAACCAAGUUUGAGUGAGUGUUUAUCCAUUAUGCCUAUUUUUAAUAAGAUCAUGUUUCUAGUACCUACAACUUCAGCGAAAUGCAUGGAGAAAAUGCAUUGAAUUAGAAGAUAUCUUAUUUCUCUUUUUCUUCUCUUAAUCUUGUAUUUUAAUUAAAAUGUUUUAACAUUUAUGCCACUCCACCCAAAUUCCACAUCAGGCAAUGUCUUCUGCCGAAUUCCCCCAUAAGGCAGGAUUUGGGUCCAAAAAAAGGGUCAGUGACCCUUCUUUUUCAAAAUAAGUAAAA
Molecule: long non-coding RNA, 4225 nt
Organism: Capsicum annuum
Lineage: Eukaryota; Viridiplantae; Streptophyta; Magnoliopsida; Solanales; Solanaceae
Exons: 2
Source: RefSeq, a predicted model, not a curated record